UCUAAUGUUCCAAGAUUUUUUAAAUAUAGCCCUACAGUUAGAUUCUGAUAGUUCACUAUUACAACAGUCAAUAUCUCUAUAAAAUUACUAUUUUACACAUUCAAAUCUUUUAUAGUGUCACUCACUUUUUUUAUUUACCCUUAAAAUAUUAAAAUUUUUUAAAUUUAUCCUCCAACGGUCGUGUUCCAACGAUCAUCUUUCUUUUUAAGCUUAUAAAAAUUACAAUCAUAGCUAAAAAAAAAUUAUCAUAGCUAAAUCAAUAAUUCAACACAGCUACAUGUAAAUAAUCACAGCAUCACAACUUCACAAUUUCAUAAUUAAUUACAUGUAAAUCACUAAUAGAAUUUAACGCUAGAGUCAUAUUUGAAAUAACUUAGAAUGUUACAAGGGCACUUUUCAUAUUAAUCUUCUAAAAAAGGUAAAUAAGAAAGUCCGAACAUUUUAAGUGUAUAUAAAUAAUUGUCCCUUAAAAAGGAUAAUUAUAUUAGGAAAAAAUAUGCUAGUAGAAAAUAUGUUAGUAGAAAAUAUGUUAGUAGAUUUGGGAUAAAAAAGGUAUUUUGACUCCUUUUUAACUCUGGUAGAAAUUUAAUCCAGAUUUAAAUUCAGAUAACUUAACUGGUACUAACAGCAUGAUUAUUUUUUAAUAAGGAAAAAAUAUGCAAAGGGUAUAUUCGAAACAAAAAAAAAUACAUAUAAAAGUUUUGACGGGUUUAAAGAUAAUUAUCCCUUUCUAUUAUGUAUGGCUAUAGAUUGAUAUACUAAAUGCAUCUCAGAUCUCUUCCAUUUUUAUCUCUAAAUAGCAGUUCAAUUUUUUUUAACACAAAUAAUAUUAAUUUUCUCAAAUAAACUUUUUGCAUGCCAU
Molecule: long non-coding RNA, 862 nt
Filed under: Ananas comosus (pineapple)
Lineage: Eukaryota; Viridiplantae; Streptophyta; Magnoliopsida; Poales; Bromeliaceae
Description: long non-coding RNA (ACOM_LNC021912)
Source: RNAcentral